Molecule: ribosomal RNA, 500 nt
Filed under: uncultured bacterium
Lineage: Bacteria
Description: partial 16S ribosomal RNA
Rfam family: Bacterial small subunit ribosomal RNA
Source: RNAcentral
AUUGAACGCUGGCGGCAGGCCUAACACAUGCAAGUCGAGCGGAUGAAAGGAGCUUGCUCCUCGAUUCAGCGGCGGACGGGUGAGUAAUGCCUAGGAAUCUGCCUAGUAGUGGGGGACAACGUUUCGAAAGGAACGCUAAUACCGCAUACGUCCUACGGGAGAAAGUGGGGGAUCUUCGGACCUCACGCUAUUAGAUGAGCCUAGGUCGGAUUAGCUAGUUGGUAGGGUAACGGCCUACCAAGGCGACGAUCCGUAACUGGUCUGAGAGGAUGAUCAGUCACACUGGAACUGAGACACGGUCCAGACUCCUACGGGAGGCAGCAGUGGGGAAUAUUGGACAAUGGGCGAAAGCCUGAUCCAGCCAUGCCGCGUGUGUGAAGAAGGCCUUCGGGUCGUAAAGCACUUUAAGUUGGGAGGAAGGGCUUACAGCGAAUACCUGUGAGUUUUGACGUUACCGACAGAAUAAGCACCGGCUAACUUCGUGCCAGCAGCCGCCGCAG